GAUGAACGCUGACAGAAUGCUUAACACAUGCAAGUCUAUGAGAAGAUCUACUUCGGUAGAAGGUAUCAUGGCGGACGGGUGAGUAACGCGUAAAGAACUUGCCUCUUAGACUGGGAUAACAGAUGGAAACGUCUGAUAAGACUAGAUAUAAUAGCGACAUGGCAUCAUGUUGUUAUGAAAGGUAACACUAAGAGAGAGCUUUGCGUCCUAUUAGUUAGUUGGUGAGGUAAUGGCUCACCAAGACGAUGAUAGGUAGCCGGCCUGAGAGGGUGAACGGCCACAAGGGGACUGAGAUACGGCCCUUACUCUUACGGGAGGCAGCAGUGGGGAAUAUUGGACAAUGGAGGAAACUCUGAUCCAGCAAUUCUGUGUGCACGAUGAAGGUUUUCGGAUCGUAAAGUGCUUUCAGUAGGGAAGAAGAAAGUGACGGUACCUACAGAAGAAGCGACGGCUAAAUACGUGCCAGCAGCCGCGGUAAUCUCGU
Molecule: ribosomal RNA, 484 nt
Filed under: uncultured bacterium
Lineage: Bacteria
Description: bacterial SSU rRNA
Rfam family: Bacterial small subunit ribosomal RNA
Source: RNAcentral